This 508-nucleotide long non-coding RNA is filed under the name Calidris pygmaea (Spoon-billed sandpiper). RNAcentral describes it as "lncRNA (ENSCPGG00000011752.1)". Lineage: Eukaryota; Metazoa; Chordata; Aves; Charadriiformes; Scolopacidae. The record is from RNAcentral.
CCUCCCCAGCCUUUCCUUUUCAGACAGCGAGCAGGAAUGAUGGAGAGGAAUCAGGCUUCUGGGAUAAGCUGCUUCUAAACUGUUUACUUUCAAGGCACCAGGCUCUUUAGCUGUGAGAGUCCUUAAGCUCCACCUGUUCAUCUUAGCCAGCUGUUUAACUCGACAAGCAACAUGAAAACUGCUUGGAGAAAGAUGCUUGAGGCCUCUCUGAUCUUCUGACAUCUGUGACUAGCUGUCACUGAAGAACCAUGCGUGAUGGAACCUGAAAGCUAUGCAGAAUACAGAAUUGCAGAAUACAGAAUUAAAGAAUACAGCUCCUGAGCUCAUACCCCACAGCGUAUGUAUUUCCUCUGCCUAUGGAUGCUACUGCUACCAAGCACACAUCUUCUUUCGUAACACCAGGCACUUUUCUGGAAAUAAAAUUCACAAAGCAAUCCGACACAUUUUCAUCCAGGAGUGUAAACCAAGACUGAAUUUCCAAGGCCUGGACAUCUUCUCUUACUUUCAU